UACGGAGGAGGCAAGCGUUAUCCGGAAUUAUUGGGCGUAAAGCGUCCGUAGGUGGUUGGCCAAGUCUGCUGUCAAAGGGUGGGGCUUAACCUCAUAAAGGCAGUGGAAACUGGCGAGCUAGAGUGCGGUAGGGGCAGGGGGAAUUCCCAGUGUAGCGGUGAAGUGCGUAGAGAUUGGGAAGAACAUCGGUGGCGAAAGCGCCCUGCUGGGCCUGCACUGACACUGAGGGAAGAAAGCUAGGGGAGCGAAAGGG
Molecule: ribosomal RNA, 253 nt
Filed under: uncultured bacterium
Lineage: Bacteria
Description: partial 16S ribosomal RNA
Rfam family: Bacterial small subunit ribosomal RNA
Source: RNAcentral